Sapajus apella (tufted capuchin) is the source of this 181-nucleotide long non-coding RNA. RefSeq lists it as uncharacterized. Lineage: Eukaryota; Metazoa; Chordata; Mammalia; Primates; Cebidae. The record is from RefSeq and is a predicted model, not a curated record. The transcript is spliced from 3 exons.
GGAUGAUGUUGGUCUCAUAAAAUGAUCUGGGAAGGAGUCCCUCUUUUUGGAUUGUUUGAAAUAAUUUCAGAAGGAAUGGUACCAGCUCCUCUUUGUACAUCUUGUAGAAUUCAGCUUUGAACCCAUCUUGACCUGGACUUUUUUUCAUUGAUAGGCUAUUAGUUACUUCAAUCUCAGAACU